This 1011-nucleotide long non-coding RNA is filed under the name Marmota monax (woodchuck). Lineage: Eukaryota; Metazoa; Chordata; Mammalia; Rodentia; Sciuridae. The record is from RNAcentral.
UCUGUGUAAAUACUGAAAGAAAACUGGUGCAGCUAUAUUAAUAUCAGACAAAGUAGACUUUGAAUCAAGAAGUAUUAGAGAGACAUUGCUGAAUGAUAAAACAGUCAGUUCAAAAGGUGGUAAGGUGGCACAUGCCUGUAAUCCCAGUGACUUGGGAGGCUGAGGCCUGAAGACUUUUGAGUUCAAGGCCAGCCUAGCAAUGUACUGAGACCCUGUCUUAAAAUAAAAAGAGCUUGGUAUGUAGCUCAGUGGGAUAAUAAUAACCCUAACCCUAACCCUAUGGAUUAAUAAAUAAAUAAACAAAUAAAAAUAAAUAAAUAAAUAAAGAAAUGAGGAUAGCUCAGUGGUAGAGUGCUCUUGGAUUCAAUCCUCAGGACUGGGGGAAAAAUGACAUACAUAACAAACCUAAAGUAAUAAGCAAUAUUAAGGUUUAGAUAUGAGGUGUCCCCCUAAAGCUCAUGUAUAAGUGCAAAAAAGUUUAGAGGUGAAAUGAUCAGGUAAUGAAAGCCUUGACCUAAUCAUAAUCAGUACAUUAAUCUACCUGAAUGGAUUAACUGGGUGGUAACUGUAGACAGGUGGGGUGUGGCUGGAGGAGGUGGGUACCUGGGGGCAUGACUUUGGGGCUUAUAUUUUGUUCCUGGUGAGUGGAUCUCUCUGUUUCCUUGUUGCCCUGUCCUGAGCUGCUUUCCUUCUCCACUCCCUUCUGCCAUGAUGUUCUGCCUCACCUUGGGCACAGAGCAAUGGAGUUGGCUGUCUAUGGACUGAAACCAUGAACCCCAAAGAAACUUUUCCUCUUCUAUGUUGUUUUAGUUAGGUCUUUUUGUCACAGUGGCAGAAAAGGCUGACAAGGCAGAAAGGCUGACUAACACAUGCAGCUAAGAAUACAUUGUAAAAAUACAUUAAAAAAAAAAAAGAGUUAACAGAACUUAAAGUGGGAAUAGACAAAGCAAAUCCACAGCCAGACUGGAGAUUUAGCGAAUUUCUCACAGAAACAGAACACACAGAUAAAAC